AUUAUAUCGAAGAAAGAUAUAUAAAUAUAUAUGAAUGCAAAACAGCAGUAAAUAUCAGACUGAGACAAAAAUGGAUUCAGCUUGUGCCAUAUGGUAGGAGAUGUUAUGCUGAAGCGGCACGCAAAUCAUUGACGUCAUGGGCUGUUCGACGUCACGGACGUCAAAACCUAUGCGACGUUACGACGAGCUAUCCCCGGGGGUGCUGGUUACCACGUGCAAGGAUAGAGGGGUGCCAGACGGGCAGGAUAAACACGAAACUAGUAGUCAAACAGGUCAAGUGCAGAUGGACGAGUUUGCGAUGAGAUAUCGCCAAUGCCAGGUCACCGAGAUUACGUACGUUUCGGGAUCUACUACGUCACUGGAGAAGAGCCUUAUGUGAUGUCAUGUGGAAAUGACGUCAUCAGUGUUGUUGAUUGCGUGCCUAAUAUAAAUCGAAACAAAUUGUUAAAAUUUAUUUUUGAUGAAUUUGACUGAUAAAUGAACUCAUUGCAGAACAUGUGAACAUUUCCAUGCACGUGACGUACCUGUGUUUCAUAUUUUACG
Molecule: long non-coding RNA, 543 nt
Organism: Mya arenaria
Lineage: Eukaryota; Metazoa; Mollusca; Bivalvia; Myida; Myidae
Exons: 3
Source: RefSeq, a predicted model, not a curated record